This is a non-coding RNA of Podarcis lilfordi (Lilford's wall lizard), 111 nucleotides long. NCBI's taxonomy places the organism in Eukaryota, Metazoa, Chordata, Lepidosauria, Squamata, Lacertidae. The record is from the annotation of a GenBank genome assembly.
UCCCUGUGAAAAUCUGUUCUUUAAAGCUCAACCGGAGCAAACAGCAACCCACUUAAAACCUUUUUUGCCAUUUGCUCUGAUUGAGUGCUGAAGAGCAGGUUUUCACAGGGA